This 142-nucleotide unclassified non-coding RNA is filed under the name uncultured Mycosphaerellaceae. Lineage: Eukaryota; Fungi; Ascomycota; Dothideomycetes; Mycosphaerellales; Mycosphaerellaceae. The record is from RNAcentral.
CUGAGUGAGGGAGCAAUCCCGACCUCCAACCCUUUGUGAACGCAUCAUGUUGCUUCGGGGGCGACCCCGCCGUUCGCGGCAUUCCCCCCGGAGGUAAUCAAAACACUGCAUUCUUACGUCGGAGUAAAAAGUUAAUUUAAUA